GUUCAUCUAGUUCAAGCUGUAGGCUAGUGCUCUCAGUCUUCCUCAGUCACAAACAAUGUUCCCCUACGUUGGAGUACUGCUAACAACCUUUAUAGGUUGCACCUCUGGAAGUCCAAUCGCUUCCAACGGUGCUGAGGUCUACACGGUGGAGGAUCUAACCAUAACCCUCUCCUGCAACUACUCCUCGGCUAACUUUCUAUUCUGGUAUCGCAAGUACCCAAGAUCAGAGCCCCAGUUUCUCAUGAGUGUAUAUAGUCCUGAUGAGGCUGUGAAGUCAACCACCGAUCCCCACUUGUCAGGGAUUCUGAACAAGGAGAAAAAUCAAAUCUUCCUGAACAUCAACUCUGCCAAACUCUCAGACUCUGCGGUGUAUUACUGCGCCAUGCAGCCCACAGUGAGCAAAACGGGUUCACUGUCAUACAAAAACCACAGUCUCACACAUGAGGAAGACAAGCUACUUUGUCAUUUCCUUUUGAAGAGAAUAAAACACAUUUGAAUGUGCUUGUUUUCUUGCUUGAUGCACUUGUUCAUACAAGUGAGUGAAUGAAUGCUAACUUAUUAUAAAUAACACAGUAUUGCCAAAGUGUUGAAUUGGCAUUUU
Molecule: non-coding RNA, 601 nt
Organism: Sardina pilchardus (European sardine)
Lineage: Eukaryota; Metazoa; Chordata; Actinopteri; Clupeiformes; Clupeidae
Source: the annotation of a RefSeq genome assembly